Molecule: long non-coding RNA, 1225 nt
Organism: Balaenoptera acutorostrata (minke whale)
Lineage: Eukaryota; Metazoa; Chordata; Mammalia; Artiodactyla; Balaenopteridae
Exons: 3
Source: RefSeq, a predicted model, not a curated record
CCUCGGUGAGGCCCCGAUGGAGGCCAGCAACCUUCUCUUCCCCAGAGGCUUCCUGGAGAAAGGUGCUUGAUUUCUGGAGCCUCUGCCUUGGGUGGUGGCCAUGUGGAUGCACCUUUCAAGGCUUCUUCCUUUGGGGAAUAUCUCCAGAGGCUGGGUGAGGGGAGAUAGACAGAAGAUGCACGGAUCAGGUCAACAGUCUUUUGUGACCAAAGUGCAGGGCUCAUGUUCCCCUGUAAUUGACUUGGGCAGCCACAGCUAGGAGAGAGGCUGUGGCAUCAAGGAGGACAAUUCUGUUCUCUUCCCAUCCACUGAACAGAUCCCGCCUGUGCAUCCCUCCUGCCAGCCAAGAAGGGGAGCUCAGACCCACUCCAUGUCCUCGUGGAGCCUGUCUUCAGCCAGAUGAGGAGACACAGAUGAGGAAUCACAACUGCUCAAUUGUUAUAAGAAAAAUUUAAUGCAGUUAUUCAGCCAAAGACACCAUUUUCAAAAGUGAACACAGAGGCCAUGAGUUCAACUUCUAAGAAUGGUGAAGGAGCAGUCUGAGUUUUAACGCCUGGAACCAAAAGAACUAACCAUUAUGGAAAGAAUUGCUGGGAUUCAAGCCAACAGACACAGAGCCUUCAGUGCUUUGAAAAACCAAACCAAGAAAAUUUUGGCUGGGCCUCAGUAGCUUCUAAAUCAAGAGCUGAAGAUGAGAACAUGGACGUGGGGAAGGACUAGACUCUAUUGAAGCCUCUCCCAGGUGGCAUCUCCCUGUGUGCUCACUACGGCCUGGGGAGCCAAGUGGGACCGCUGGGACGUGGAUUUGCCACUCAAGCCCUGAUCCGGAUGAGCCCUCGGUAGAGGAGCUGGUGUCUGAGCUCUGGGCCUCAGCAGUCUGGGGAGGACCAGCAGAGGAUGGCUGCCUGCUGAGAGGCAGGAAGGAUAUCUUUGCUGAGCUCCUAGGAAAUCUGAUAGGACUUAUUUCAUGUAAUACAAUCCAUUCUUGUGUCCCCGGGCUUUUGCUUAUGCUGAUCCCUCAGCCUGGGACACCCUCCACACUUUGUCCAUCUGGCAAAUUUCUAGUUUGCCUUCAAAAUUUAGCUCAGAGAGUAUCUCUUCCAAAAAACUUCUGUGACAGUUUGAAAACAUGGCUGCAAUGGGGGUUUGUUUGUUUGUUUUUUUGUUUUUGUUUUUUUGCUUCUCCUCCCAUCAAGAGGUAGAUUCUACAACCCCAUCCUUUGAA